Molecule: long non-coding RNA, 811 nt
Organism: Aedes aegypti (yellow fever mosquito)
Lineage: Eukaryota; Metazoa; Arthropoda; Insecta; Diptera; Culicidae
Exons: 3
Source: RefSeq, a predicted model, not a curated record
AGAUUUUCCUGCAGUUCUUAUUGGAAAGCUUGUAACCUGCUCACAACCAACGGCCUCGCGAGGGAAUCAAAGCUCCCCACUGUCGCCGUAUGAAAUGAAGGCAUAGGUCUUUCUUACCAUGUACAAUACACUACACUCACCACAACAGAACAACAGAACACACACUCUACAUCCAGCUGUAAGUCCCAUGCAACACAUGUUCGUCAUCUCCCGAUAUGGAGAGAAUCCCGUGCUCCAACAGCCCAACACGAUAUGCAUAGCGUACCAAUAAGCACCAUAAUCAUGUAUCAGUAACCCUCAGGUAUGCCCCUCUACUCCCAGAGCCGAGGAUCUCACUCUCCACUGAUCAUCUACUCUUAUCACCACCCACAGACGAUAAGAGAUUACGAUCUCAGCAUCCAUACCGAAAGGUAGAAAUGGAGCUCGCUUGAGCUGGUUAGUUAGUUCUCGGUUAACUGUCAAGCAGGCAGAACGCAGGAAAGUUCGUGGAGUACACGUAGACGUGAGAUAGCCUGACCGCUGUAGAACAAAAUUUCCAUUUUUUUAAUUCUGUGGCAAAAAGUGAAGUGGUGAAGUGGAAACCUAAUUAAGCUUAUUGGGCUCAGAGCAAGCCGCAGAUGUUCACUACCUUUAUGCAUGCUGCUCUGUAGUGCUACAAUGGAGUAGAGGAGGAGGAUACAAUGAGAUCGGCCUUUCUAUCAUGACCUACUUGUGCGCCAGGCCGGGAAGGUGUCCUAGUACGAUCAUGGAUCGGUGUGCUAGCGUUGGAGUAGCUGGCACGUCGCCGGUGAAUUUUCUUCUGUCCGGGCAA